AUUGAACGCUGGCGGCAGGCCUAACACAUGCAAGUCGAACGGUAACAGGAAGCAGCUUGCUGCUUUGCUGACGAGUGGCGGACGGGUGAGUAAUGUCUGGGAAACUGCCUGAUGGAGGGGGAUAACUACUGGAAACGGUAGCUAAUACCGCAUAACGUCGCAAGACCAAAGAGGGGGACCUUCGUGCCUCUUGCCAUCGGAUGUGCCCAGAUGGGAUUAGCUAGUAGGUGGGGUAACGGCUCACCUAGGCGACGAUCCCUAGCUGGUCUGAGAGGAUGACCAGCCACCCUGGAACUGAGACACGGUCCAGACUCCUACGGGAGGCAGCAGUGGGGAAUAUUGCACAGUGGGCGCAAGCCUGAUGCAGCCAUGCCGCGUGUAUGAAGAAGGCCUUCGGGUUGUAAAGUACUUUCAGCGGGGAGGAAGGGAGUAAAGUUAAUACCUUUGCUCAUUGACGUUACCCGCAGAAGAAGCACCGGCUAACUCCGUG
RNAcentral lists this ribosomal RNA (490 nucleotides) under uncultured bacterium. RNAcentral's name for it is "partial 16S ribosomal RNA". It matches the Rfam family "Bacterial small subunit ribosomal RNA", at positions 30 to 507 of the family's 1533-position model. The record is from RNAcentral.